RNAcentral lists this ribosomal RNA (601 nucleotides) under uncultured archaeon. RNAcentral describes it as "bacterial SSU rRNA". It matches the Rfam family "Archaeal small subunit ribosomal RNA", at positions 714 to 1314 of the family's 1478-position model. The record is from RNAcentral.
GGGGCACGAACCGGAUUAGAUACCCGGGUAGUCCCAGCUGUAAACGAUGCUCGUUAGGUGUCAGGAACGGUGCGACUGUUUCUGGUGCCGAAGGGAAGCCGUGAAACGAGCCACCUGGGAAGUACGGCCGCAAGGCUGAAACUUAAAGGAAUUGGCGGGGGAGCACUACAACGGGUGGAGCCUGCGGUUUAAUUGGACUCAACGCCGGAAAACUCACCGGGGGCGACAGCAAUAUGUAGGUCAGGUUAAAGGUCUUACCUGAAUCGCUGAGAGGAGGUGCAUGGCCGUCGUCAGUUCGUACUGUGAAGCAUCCUGUUAAGUCAGGCAACGAGCAAGACCCGUGCCCACUGUUACCAGCAUAUCCUUUAUGGAUGAUGGGGACUCUGUGGGGACCGCUGCUGCUAAAGCAGAGGAAGGUGCGGGCUACGGUAGGUCAGUAUGCCCCGAAUCUCCCGGGCUACACGCGGGCUACAAUGGUUGGGACAAUGGCUAUCUACUCCGAAAGGAGUUGGCAUCUCUUAAACCCAAUCGUAGUUCGAAUUGAGGGCUGUAACUCGCCCUCAUGAAGCUGGAAUCCGUAGUAAUCGCGUUUCAACAUAGC